This 114-nucleotide ribosomal RNA is filed under the name Danio rerio (zebrafish). The record is from RNAcentral. Lineage: Eukaryota; Metazoa; Chordata; Actinopteri; Cypriniformes; Danionidae.
GCCAGCAGCUAGCUCUCUGCAACGCUCACAUAGUCACCCACUGAAGCAUACAGGGCUGCACCCAGUCUGUACCUGGAUGGGAGACCACAUGGGAAAGCUAGGUUGCUGCCGGAA